Molecule: non-coding RNA, 45 nt
Filed under: Schistosoma margrebowiei
Lineage: Eukaryota; Metazoa; Platyhelminthes; Trematoda; Strigeidida; Schistosomatidae
Source: RNAcentral
AUCUAGCUGACCAGUCCCAAAUAAGACGAAACAUGAGUCCUGGAU